GCUUUGGUAGAGUCCGAAAGCUGGACUCAUUAAAAAAACUGUUUCCUAGGAAAGACAGACACUCAGUUGGAAUGUGGAAAGAUUUCUGAGAGUCGAAUGACAAGGUCUGAGCAGAGGUAUAUAGGAAGAUUUUGACUUUUGGUAUUUAGAGCCAUCCUUCUGUAUCCACAGCAGGUUGGUUCUAGGGGCGCCCUCCCCCUUCUAGCCCCACCCCCCAUGGAGAACCUGAGGGUGCGCAGAUCACUCAUGUAGAAUGGAAUAUUUGCUGCACGUCCUCCCAUGUGCUUUUUUUUCUUUUGUUUUGUUUUGUUUUUCCAGGGCCGCACCUGUGGCAUACGGAGGUUCCCAGGCUAGGGGGCUCAUCGGAGCUGUAGCUGCUGGCUUACACCACAGCCUCAGCAAUGCCGGAUCCUUAACCCACUGAGGGAGGCAGGGAUCGAACCCACAACUUCAUGGUUCCUAGUCGGAUUCGUUUCUGCUGCGCCACAGCGGGAGCUCCACGUCCUCCCAUGUACUCUGAAUCGCCUCUGGGUUUCUUAGGAUACGUGAUGCAGAGUAAAUGCCAUAUGAAGAACCUACGGAUAAGGAAGAGUGACUGAAUAUGCAGUCACCACUUAGAAAAUAUAAGAAAGAAGAGAUCUCAUGCAUAAUGAUAAUCCAAAAAUACAGUAUUGUUAAGGACAAAUACGUGAAGAAAACCGCAGAAUCUUCCUGAGAUUUGACUACAUGGAGCCAUCAUCUUGUAUAGAAAUACCAUUUUCCAGGCUUAAAAGUUACAGAAUAAAUGAUACAGGAAAUGAUGACCAGAUUUAUUUAAAUAAAAAAUUUAAACUUGAAA
This is a non-coding RNA of Sus scrofa (pig), 838 nucleotides long. NCBI's taxonomy places the organism in Eukaryota, Metazoa, Chordata, Mammalia, Artiodactyla, Suidae. The record is from RefSeq and is a predicted model, not a curated record.